This 583-nucleotide ribosomal RNA is filed under the name uncultured fungus. RNAcentral describes it as "eukaryotic LSU rRNA". It matches the Rfam family "Eukaryotic large subunit ribosomal RNA", at positions 181 to 783 of the family's 3401-position model. The record is from RNAcentral. Lineage: Eukaryota; Fungi.
CUAAGUUCCUUGGAACAGGACGUCGCAGAGGGUGAGAAUCCCGUAUGUGGUCGCUUGUCCGUGCCGUGUAAAGCCCCUUCGACGAGUCGAGUUGUUUGGGAAUGCAGCUCUAAAUGGGAGGUAAAUUUCUUCUAAAGCUAAACAUUGGCCAGAGACCGAUAGCGCACAAGUAGAGUGAUCGAAAGAUGAAAAGCACUUUGGAAAGAGAGUCAAAAAGCACGUGAAAUUGUUGAAAGGGAAGCGCUUGCAGCCAGACGUGCUCGUAGUUGCUCAUCUGGGGGUUUCCCCCGGUGCACUCUUCUGCGGGCAGGCCAGCAUCAGUUUUGGCGGUCGGAGAAAGGCUCAUGUCACGUAGCUCCUUUCGGGGAGUGUUAUAGGGUGAGCGGAAUACGACCAGCUGGAACUGAGGUCCGCGCAUCUGCUAGGAUGCUGGCGUAAUGGCUGUAAGCGGCCCGUCUUGAAACACGGACCAAGGAGUCUAACAUCUAUGCGAGUGUUUGGGUGCAAAGCCCGGGCGCGUAAUGAAAGUGAACGGAGGUGGGAACCCUUUGGGUGCACCAUCGACCGAUCCUGAUGUCUUCGG